This 253-nucleotide ribosomal RNA is filed under the name uncultured bacterium. Its description in RNAcentral is "partial 16S ribosomal RNA". It matches the Rfam family "Bacterial small subunit ribosomal RNA", at positions 524 to 776 of the family's 1533-position model. The record is from RNAcentral.
UACGAAGGGUGCAAGCGUUGCUCGGAAUUAUUGGGCGUAAAGCGCACGUAGGCGGCUUUGCAAGUCGGAUGUGAAAUCCCUCGGCUUAACCAAGGAAGUGCAUCCGAAACUGCAGAGCUUGAGUACUUAAGAGGAUCGCGGAAUUCCCGGUGUAGAGGUGAAAUUCGUAGAUAUCGGGAGGAACACCAGUGGCGAAGGCGGCUAGCUGGGAAGAUACUGACGCUGAGGUGCGAAAGCGUGGGGAGCAAACAGG